This 599-nucleotide unclassified non-coding RNA is filed under the name Malbranchea californiensis. RNAcentral's name for it is "Auxarthron californiense sequence contains 18S rRNA gene, ITS1, 5.8S rRNA gene, ITS2, 28S rRNA gene". The stretch from base 240 to 393 matches the Rfam family "5.8S ribosomal RNA". The record is from RNAcentral. Lineage: Eukaryota; Fungi; Ascomycota; Eurotiomycetes; Onygenales; Malbrancheaceae.
AGUCGUAACAAGGUUUCCGUAGGUGAACCUGCGGAAGGAUCAUUAAAGUGUUUCCGCUGCGGCAUGGGACUUUGGUUCUGUGCCGCGCGAAACUCCACCCUUGACUAUUGUACCACUUGUUGCUUUGGCGGGCCCGUCGCAAGGCCGCCGGGAGCUCAGGCUUCUGGCCCGCGCCCGCCAGAGACAAAUAUUGAACUCUUUUGUGAAAUUGGCUGUCUGAGUUUAUGAUAAAUCAUUAAAACUUUCAACAAUGGAUCUCUUGGUUCCGGCAUCGAUGAAGAACGCAGCGAAAUGCGAUAAGUAAUGUGAAUUGCAGAAUUCCGUGAAUCAUCGAAUCUUUGAACGCACAUUGCGCCCUCUGGUAUUCCGGAGGGCAUGCCUGUCCGAGCGUCAUUGCAACCUUCAAGCACGGCUUGUGUGUUGGGUCUCGUCCCCCGUGGACGGGCCCGAAAGGCAGUGGCGGCGCCCGAUCCGGUGCCCGAGCGUAUGGGAAUCUUCUCCGCUCUCAGAGGCCCGAUCGACGCCUGUCGAACCAAAUUUUUUUACCGGUUGACCUCGGAUCAGGUAGGGAUACCCGCUGAACUUAAGCAUAUCAAUAA